GCUGUUAAGGGUUCGUAGUUGAAUUGGGGGCUGACCGAGUAAGCGGUGGCGUCUUGCCCUUCGGGGGGGCUCAACCACCGUUCUCGCAGCUCGUGAACAUUCGAAACAAACAUCGCGGAUCGUAAUCUUCCCUAUUUUCGCGUGCAAUGUACGCAGGGGGACGUCCGUGUUUAUUACUGUGCAAAAGAAGGGUGACCAAAGCAGUCAUUCGACAUGAAUUAGAAAGCAUGGGAUAACAAGGAGCGGCCUACGGGCUUCCAUUUAUGGCUUUUGUUGGUUUUAAAGGUCUGUGGGAGUUGUGGACCCGCAAGACCGGGCGCACGGGAGCUUCAUCGUUCCCGACGUCCUUCUGCGUUGGCGCGGCCUUCACAGACUUGCCGGGUCCAGGAAUGAAGGAGGGUUGUUCGGGGGAGACGUACUUGAGCGUGAGAGGUGAAAUUCUUAGACCGCUCAAAGACGAACUACGGCGAAGGCUUCUCCAAGGAUACCUUCAUCAAUCAAGAACUAAAGUG
Molecule: ribosomal RNA, 512 nt
Filed under: uncultured kinetoplastid
Lineage: Eukaryota; Euglenozoa; Kinetoplastea
Description: bacterial SSU rRNA
Rfam family: Eukaryotic small subunit ribosomal RNA
Source: RNAcentral